AUGUCAUGGGAGGAUAUGACAAGGCCUAAGAGAGCUGGUGGUAUAGGUUUUCGUGAUAUGCACCUUUUUAACCAAGCGUUGCUAGCCAGGCAAGUUUGGAGACUAAUCCAACAUACGGAUAGUCUAUGUGCGAGGGUCCUUAAGUCCAAAUAUUUUCCAAAUGGGAACAUCACCGAUACUGUAUUUGCGUCCGAUGUAUCCCCGUCAUGGAGAGGUAUUGAGUUUGGUCUGGAACUACUUAAAAAAGGCCUCAUUUGGAGAAUUGGAAAUGGAAGGAGGAUACAAAUAACGAGGGACCAGUGGAUCUUGAGGAAGGAAGGAUUGGAAGCAGCGUCUUUUGUGAGAAGGUCAAGACUCAGAUGGGUCAACCAACUCAUUGAUGAUGAGACCAAGGAAUGGAAAUAUGAUCUGGUGAAACAGAUAUUCCACGACUUUGAUGCGGAUGAUAUUUGUUAG
This 456-nucleotide ribosomal RNA is filed under the name Triticum aestivum (bread wheat). RNAcentral describes it as "partial small subunit ribosomal RNA". Lineage: Eukaryota; Viridiplantae; Streptophyta; Magnoliopsida; Poales; Poaceae. The record is from RNAcentral.